Molecule: ribosomal RNA, 312 nt
Filed under: uncultured Pseudoperonospora
Lineage: Eukaryota; Oomycota; Peronosporomycetes; Peronosporales; Peronosporaceae
Description: partial large subunit ribosomal RNA
Rfam family: Eukaryotic large subunit ribosomal RNA
Source: RNAcentral
AUAUCACUAAGCGGAGGAAAAGAAAUCAACGAAGAUUGCCUCAGUAGCGGCGAGUGAAGCGGCAAUAGCUCAAGUUUAGAAUCUGUGACCUUCGGUCAUCGAAUUGUAAUCUAAAGGGGUUAACAAAAGGGGAAGCAGAGGCAUAAGUUCCUUGGAAAAGGACGUCAAAGAGGGUGAAAACCCCGUAUGAAGCCUUCGCUGAACCGAAUGUUGGCUUUCUAAGAGUCGGGUUGUUUGGGAUUGCAGCCCUAAAUGGGAGAUAAACUUCUUCUAAGACUAAAUAUUGAUGGGAGACCGAAUAGCGCACAAGUA